Rosa chinensis is the source of this 567-nucleotide long non-coding RNA. RefSeq lists it as uncharacterized. The transcript is spliced from 2 exons. The record is from RefSeq and is a predicted model, not a curated record. Lineage: Eukaryota; Viridiplantae; Streptophyta; Magnoliopsida; Rosales; Rosaceae.
UCUGUGGCACUUUGCAAUUUCACUUCCUCUCUGUGCAUAUAUCUGUUCAGCACUUUUACUAAAAUAAUGAACCGCAGGUAAUGCUAGCCUUCUUUUCGACUGGCAUGAAUUUGUUGUCAGGUCUUGGUGCAAAGAUUGAGAGAGAGUCCAAGCUGAAGCUCAAUGACUUUGACAAGGUACAUGAUCCUAGCAUUGAUUGGUGAGAAAGGGUAUGACUGAAUUGCAGAUGUAACUAGUGUCCUGCCCAUAUCGAUCCAAUUUCUGUUCUGGCAUGUGUGCGCCCCUUGCUGAACUAUUGAUCUAUAUGCAGCUGGAACUACAAAAAGAGAGCCAAAAGCUCCUACACAAGCUUCCAAAGCUAGACUCCAAUGACGCCAUGAGAGCAGCAAAACUUGCAAAGCUAGACUCCUUAAGUAAAUUUGUGGAUGUAUAUUGCUAGGAAAGUAGUAUUAGAUGUACUCCUUUUGUGGAUGAAAGGUUGCCUUUGCACAAUCUAUUUUGGUGCAUGAUGUGGAUUAUAUAUAACAAUUUCUUCUAUAUAUUGAUCAGCUACUGUUAAGUUGAUCA